UCAUGAGAGCAGCUAUAAUGAAACUCCUCAUGGAGUUUUUGAUUAUGUGAUUCUUUGGCACUUUUAUAGUGAUUAAAUGAUUUCCAUACCAAAUAUUUUAUGAUUACUUGAUUAUUUAUUUUGAUAAUCUAUAGGACGAGUUCUGUUUUUAUGAUUGUUUAACCAAGGAGGUCAUAUAAUCUCCUUGGUUUAACUAUCGUGUUUAAAAAAUAAUAAUAAUUCAUUUAUGUCAGUGAUUAAAUUGGCAACCAAUUUGUGAUUCAUGUGAUUACUUGGAUUCCCCCCAAUGAAGGGCCUCUAUAAUUUAAACAGAAAUACGCUUUUAAUAUCCAAAACUCUAUAUAGUUUAAACGAGUACAUUCGGAAACAUGUAAGACGACGACCAGUUGAUAUUUUGGAGGGAAGACUGGUUUAGGAAAUGUAAUUUAACCGAAACUUUGACUGCUGCAGGACGAAAAUGAAUAAUCUAUCUACAGAAUUUAUAAAAAGUGCUUUGAUUCAGAGAUUGAUUUUUUGUGGUUUCCUACACCAAAGCAUCAACGCUUUGAAUUUAUCGACGUUUAUAAUCUUAACACAGAGUCUUUGGACAAUACUUUUAUGCAUAUUUAUUACUAGUCAGAUAUUUUUAUGGUAUCACGUAGUUAAAUAUGGGAGUGGAUAUAUUCUAUCUAGAAAAGACAAAUACCAACAACUGCUGUCAAACAAAGACUAGAUUAAAAAAAAAAAACGGAACCAAAUUUUCAUUACAAUUUUUAAAUUUUUUGAUCAAUUCUGUUUUAAAUAGAAUUAU
This 790-nucleotide long non-coding RNA is filed under the name Mytilus galloprovincialis (Mediterranean mussel). Lineage: Eukaryota; Metazoa; Mollusca; Bivalvia; Mytilida; Mytilidae. The record is from RNAcentral.